AUGAGCCAGGGGCAACAGAGGAGGCCGUCGUCAGACCAAGCCCAGGCGGGCGGCGGCGGGCAGGGCCAGGGACAGGGAGGAGGCGCCGUCCGCUACGGCGACGUGUUCCCGGCCGUGACCGGCGGCCUCGCGGAGAAGCCCGUGGCGCCGCAGGACGCGGCCACGAUGCAGUCGGCCGAGAACCUCGUUUUCGGGGAGACGAUCAAGGGCGGGCCGGCGGCAGCCAUGCAGUCCGCGGCCAUGCGGAACGAGCGCAUGGGCCUCGUCGGCCACGACCAGGCCACGGACGCCACCGCCGAGCAGGGUGUCUCCGUGUCCGAGACCCGCGUCCCCGGCGGGCGUAUCGUCACCGAGUUCGUCGCCGGGCAGGCCGUGGGCCAGUACCUCGCGCCGGAUGAUGCCGCCGAUGCAGGCGGAGCCGGUGGCGACGACACGAAGAUAACUAUCGGCGAGGCGCUGGAGGCGGCAGGUUACUCGGCCGGAGGCAGGCCGGUGGAGCGCAGCGACGCGGCGGCCAUCCAGGCGGCCGAAGUGCGGGCCACCGGGCUGGACGUCAAUAUCCCUGGUGGCCUGGCCGCGCAGGCGCAGUCGGCCGCCGACGCCAACGCCUGGGCCGCGCGCGACGAUGAGAAGGCCAAGCUCGGCGACGUGCUCUCGAAUGCGACGGCGAAGCUGGUUGCGGACAAGGAGGUGGAGGCCGACGACGCGGCGAGGGUGGCCUCGGCGGAGACCCGAAACAAGGAUGACAAGACGGUGAGGCCGGGAGGGAUAGCAGCGUCCGUGGCUGCGGCGGCGCGGCUCAACAAGCAGGGCGCAUAG
This 819-nucleotide ribosomal RNA is filed under the name Triticum aestivum (bread wheat). Its description in RNAcentral is "partial small subunit ribosomal RNA". The record is from RNAcentral. Lineage: Eukaryota; Viridiplantae; Streptophyta; Magnoliopsida; Poales; Poaceae.